AUUGACACAUUGUAAUAUUUUUCCUUGAGUCAUAUGUGUAAAUCUGUUACAUACGUUUUUCGCACUACUCAGUGGGAUUCUUAAUUUUUCUUCUUAGCUACUAACUUUACUUUCGUCAGAAAACUGCUUUUAUAUGUAAGAUGUUCAAAACUAAAGAAUAUUCCUUUUACUGUAAUAUAACUACACAAAAAAAUAUGAAGAGAAAUAAACAAUUUUAUUUGCAAAAUCUAGAUUUCAACUAGUGGGAAGACCUGUGAGCAGCUCUGCCUGAAGUUGGUCAUGUUUUUGAAAUACACCAUACAAUUUUUAAAAUAUAAUUUAGCAGAAAAUACAAUUUUAGAAAAAUAUAAUUUAGCAGACCUUAAAAUACUUGUUAACUUGUACUUAAUGGCAAAAUUAAAUACAAGUUAACAAGUGUUUUAUUAUGUUGCCUUUUUGAAUUCCUAAAGAUAAAAAGUAGUUGCCGUAGUUGCCAAUAAAUGAGUUUUUCUUUUUCCAGGGGUGGAAGCAGAAGAAUGGGGUAAAUUUCUUCACACCAAAAAUAAGCUUUACACGGAUUUUGAUGAAAUUCGACAAGAAAUUGAAAAUGAAACAGAAAGA
This 600-nucleotide small RNA is filed under the name Pongo abelii (Sumatran orangutan). RNAcentral describes it as "retained intron". Lineage: Eukaryota; Metazoa; Chordata; Mammalia; Primates; Hominidae. The record is from RNAcentral.